Molecule: ribosomal RNA, 497 nt
Filed under: uncultured bacterium
Lineage: Bacteria
Description: partial 16S ribosomal RNA
Rfam family: Bacterial small subunit ribosomal RNA
Source: RNAcentral
GAUGAACGCUGGCGGCGUGCCUAAUACAUGCAAGUCGAGCGAACAGACGAGGAGCUUGCUGGUCUGACGUUAGCGGCGGACGGGAGAGUAACACGAGGAUACCCUACCUAUAAGACUGGUAUCACUUAGGGAAUCCGGAGCUAAUACCGUAGAAGAUACUGAAGCGCGGGGGUCGAUGGUGAAAUACGGUGUUUCGGUAACGUAUAGCGGGAUCCUCGCUGGUUUAGGUAGUUGGUGAGGUAACGGCCUACCAAGGCAACGAUGCGUAGCCGAACUGAUAGGGUGGUCGGCCACCCUGGAACUGUGACACGGUCCAGGGGGCUAGGGGAGGCAGCAGGAGGGAAUCGGCGGCAAUGGGCGGAAGCCUGACGGAACAGCGCCGAGUGCGUGAUGAGGGUCUUCGGAUCGGAAAACUCUGUUAUUGGGGAAGAACACAUGUGUGCGUGAAAAUACCCGUCUUGACGGUACCUGAGGAAAAAGCCACGGCUAACUACGGG